GUAGGGUUUCCAGAGCACAGACAAGAUGUGCCUGAUUUCCACCAGACCUGUCACUCCCCGUCCAGUGACCAAGAGCAUGGGCAAUGGGAGAGAAGGAAGCUGGAUCCAGGAGGGAGGGCCUGAGACCCAAGCGCCUACCAAAAAGAAAUUUCCCAGGGAAAGGCUGUGAUUGGCUAGACCUGGGUCAUGUGCCCCACCCCGGAACAACCUUUGCAACAGCGUGGAAGAAACACCAUAGUGGGUCAGGCCUGGGUUAUGUGCCCAGCUAUGUAGCCAGAAGGAGGUGAAAGGGGAUGGACAGGCCCACCAGAGCCACAAGGUAAGGCGCAUUUCUCUAAAAAAAGGAAAGCUAGGCAGAUUAAAAAAACGAAAAACAAAAAACGGACAUUCAUUCUUGCUAUGUAUUUAUUUAUUGAGACAGAGUCUCUCUCUGUCUCCCAGGCUGGAGUGCAGUGGUACGAUCUCAGCUCACUGCAACCUCUGAUUCCCAGGCUCAAGUGAUUCUCAUGCCUCAGCCUCUCGAGUAGCUGGGACUACAGGCAUGCACCCCCAUGCUUGGAUAAUUUUUUGUAUUUUUUUUUUGGUAGAGACAGGGUUUCCCCAUGUUGGCUGGGCUGGUCUCGAACUCCUGGCCUCAAGUAAUCAGCCCACUUCAGCCUGAGGAUAACAUGGAAAGUUAUCUUCAACAUGGAACUGUGAAUUUGUGUGUUUCCGUGGAGCAUGGGGAUCAGGAGCCCAGACUCGGCAGCCAGAUGGCCUGGGCUCAAAUCCUAGCCCUGCCACUUUCUUACCAUCAUCUUAGGUGAUUGACUUCACCUCCUUGAGCCUCAAUUUCUUCAUCUGUAAAAUAGGCAUAAUAAUGGUGCUUGCCUCAUAUCAUUGGUGACGGGUUCACUAAGUCAAGCCAUGUCAAGCGUGUUGGAGUGGCACUUGGUGUGCAGUUGGUUUUUGAUCAAUGUUAGCGGUUGGAGAGGCCUAGAGCAGGGGUCGCCAGCUGGAAUGCCCUGAAGGGCCAGACAAUAAGCGAAUGAGGGGAGUGGGCCCACUUAGGCACACAGCGGGGAAUGGCGGGGACUGUAGCAAAAUGGAGUGGCUUGUCCCAUAUGAAGUGGGCAACUGGUCCCGGCCUUCGCUGACUGCCACCAUGAAGGGACAAGAGUACAGGAUGGCUGGUUUCUCUGUUUUCCAA
Molecule: long non-coding RNA, 1189 nt
Filed under: Macaca mulatta (Rhesus monkey)
Lineage: Eukaryota; Metazoa; Chordata; Mammalia; Primates; Cercopithecidae
Description: lncRNA (ENSMMUG00000062922.1)
Source: RNAcentral